GGGUUGAUUAAUUUUCACAUGGCUGCUCAGGGAGUGGUGGGAGGCUGCUGAUUUUUUUUGGUCUGUUUGGAAAGCUGAAGAUGUAGUUUGUGUUUGCUUGGUGAGUCUUAUGCCAAGCAGCUGUUACCACUCUCUUCAAGCUGGAGUAUCCAGGUGGGACGGACUAUUGCUGCUUGGCUGCCCUGUACAGCAUAUUUCCCCACUGAUGUGGAAGGGAGACUUAUUCUACAGCUUUUUUUGCCUCCUCUCUCCCACUAAAACCAACAGGACAAUUACAAAACGGAAAGCCCUGGUUUUUGCAUUUACAUAUCCUGGGCUGAAAUACAGACAACGUCAUGCAGUCUUACAACCUUUAUUUAUUCAGAUGCCGAUUUACAUAAAAAAGAAUUCUCUGAAACACAAAAUCAUGGUGCCGGAUGUUCAAAAUCACAACAAAUCAUAUGAAAUGUGGGGACAAAAUUCUGCAGAAAUUAAAAUCAUACCUUGAUUGUCUAAUGGGAGCUAAAGCAUGCAAGUGGAAAGAAGAGCCUAUUACUUCCCUGCUAGGAAGAGAGGAAGAUUACUUGAAUGGAGAGCAUCUCCUGGGUUCAAGAAAGACUGAGGAAAGUUGAGGAAUGGCCUCUGACUUGCUGGCUUCUCCUCAAAAAUGCGAACAGAGUGCAGAAGUGUGUGUCUCUUGGCCUCCAUUUCUUUAUUACCUUUGAGUAGAGACUAAAUCCUGAACUUGGGUUUUGAGGAUUCAAAGGCGUCUCUUUCUGUGCUUUGCAGAGCUUUGCUUUGCCUCUUCCUCCCUGCUAGUUUUCAUGUUCCCACCUAUGUCUGGAAGCCUACAAGAGGCUGUGAAGGGCUCUCUGGGAUCGCCCCUGAAUCAGGAGAUUUGCUGCAUCUGGAGCCUGUGUGAGAUGCAGCGCUCCUUUCCCCAGGAGGUGGAAUGUAACAACUCCUUAUGGCUGACAUUUCCCACACUUGCUGAAAGAUGAGGAGAGGCUUGAGAGGUGGAACCAAAAGAUACCACCCUUCUAUUUGAUCACUGGCACCUUUUUCAUGUUCAGCCCUGACUAAUCUUCUUAGGAAGGAGUCUGGGGUUAAUUAUCUGAUGAUUAUACUGGCUUUCUCAAGCAACCCUUUCCAGGCUUGUUUGAGACAGUCAGUAUUCUGUUCCUGAGAAGAAAUGCUCUGUUAGGAAGGUACUGGGCUCAGUCUGUUUUCCAGACAGGGGAAUCCACUAUUCUUCUGUUUGAAUUAUGUUGUUUAUUUAAGUUUCUUGCUCUAAAUAUUUUUCCCCAGAGAAAAGGUUAUUUUCUCCUGCUUUAAACCUUACCACCAGCUACUGGUCUGCCCCAUAAAUGUAAUUUUAUAUAAAAUAAAAAACAGGACCAGAUGAGGCAAGGCACUUCAGUGUCUUAGCCUAGUAAAUGCGAGUGACCUAAUGUGUUUUAGGGGGUUAUACUGUAGAGGUGGUGUACCUACAUCAAUGUUUUCCUCAUUCAUUUUACCGUAGAGAUGUAAUGAGGACUGUUAACAGGAGAUAUACCACUGGCAAGGUUUUUAUUCAGCUUUAAUUGCUCUAAAAUUUGAGAUUUAAAACGGCCUUGCUCCUUUGUUAGUGUGAUGAUGCUCCUAAACUGGUAGGAGUAAAGUUGGCUGGUUCUGCAGAGUCUUGAUGGUUUCUAUGCUAAUUAUCUUAUUCUCUGUUACCACUUUGUCAAGUGAUUGCUGUGAAUUACUUUUGACUGCAUUUAUGGAAAUGUUAACUGCAUGCAUUUAAAUACAUAGGAAUCUGGAUAGUAAAAGGCUGAAUAUUUUUCACUUCCUAUGUGUAUUAUGUUAUGUAUUUAAUAAAAGCAUAAAUGCAUUGAACAACACAAUUCAAAUGUAUAUUAAAAGAAAAACUUUGGACAGUUGAAAGAAAGUGGAUUUGAACAGCUUAGACUUUAAAUUUCCUUUUCUUGGAAUAUUUAUCUUUGUAUGUUCAUUUUGGUGCAUCAAAUGCUGUAAGAUACUUUUCAGCAUAAAAAUUUUCUGGGAUGCAAAAUGUCAUGGCAUCCAAAUAACUAUUGGAUCUAGCAGAAAGGGAGCAAAAAAAAAUUUACACACACUUUACAAAUCCUGCUGUAAUAAAACAAGAAAAAAAUCAUAGCUAUAGUGAGUGUGUAUAAGUACAUUUAUUGAAAUCAACACAAACCCAAAUGGCUAUGAUUAAUUCUGAAAAUGUUAAUUUUCUCAGAAGAAGCUUUUGAGUAUUCUACUAAAUGAAAAUAGUACGAGAGCGGUCACUUGUAUUUUGCAGUGCCAUAAAUUUUCAGUUGUCAGGGAUUAGUUUCCAGCUUUUAUUGUUUCUUAUCUGUGGCAGUAAGCCUGCUGUUCUGAAUUUAUUUUUAUUUCCUUCCUAUAUUACAUUUUGUUGCCAAUUUGUUAGAUUUUUCAUUUCUAAGUGAAGCUUUCAGUCCCAUGCUUUCAGCAAAUAAAUUUUUUAAGUAUAUUGGCUUUAAUGAUUUCAUU
Molecule: long non-coding RNA, 2502 nt
Organism: Hirundo rustica (Barn swallow)
Lineage: Eukaryota; Metazoa; Chordata; Aves; Passeriformes; Hirundinidae
Exons: 4
Source: RefSeq, a predicted model, not a curated record